RNAcentral lists this ribosomal RNA (1032 nucleotides) under Cronobacter sp. RNAcentral describes it as "bacterial SSU rRNA". It matches the Rfam family "Bacterial small subunit ribosomal RNA", at positions 20 to 1045 of the family's 1533-position model. The record is from RNAcentral. Lineage: Bacteria; Pseudomonadati; Pseudomonadota; Gammaproteobacteria; Enterobacterales; Enterobacteriaceae.
UUGCUCAGAUGACGCUGGCGGCAGGAUAACACAUGCAAGUCGAACGGUAACAGAGAGCAGCUUGCUGCUUUGCUGACGAGUGGCGGACGGGUGAGUAAUGUCUGGGAAACUGCUGAUGGAGGGGGAUAACUACUGGAAACGGUAGCUAAUACCGCAUAACGUCUUCGGACCAAAGUGGGGGACUUUCGGGCCUCAUGCCAUCAGAUGUGCCCAGAUGGGAUUAGCUAGUAGGUGGGGUAACGGCUCACCUAGGCGACGAUCCCUAGCUGGUCUGAGAGGAUGACCAGCCACACUGGAACUGAGACACGGUCCAGACUCCUACGGGAGGCAGCAGUGGGGAAUAUUGCACAAUGGGCGCAAGCCUGAUGCAGCCAUGCCGCGUGUAUGAAGAAGGCCUUCGGGUUGUAAAGUACUUUCAGCGAGGAGGAAGGGAUUGUGGUUAAUAACCGCAGUCAUUGACGUUACUCGCAGAAGAAGCACCGGCUAACUCCGUGCCAGCAGCCGCGGUAAUACGGAGGGUGCAAGCGUUAAUCGGAAUUACUGGGCGUAAAGCGCACGCAGGCGGUCUGUUAAGUCAGAUGUGAAAUCCCCGGGCUCAACCUGGGAACUGCAUUUGAAACUGGCAGGCUUGAGUCUCGUAGAGGGGGGUAGAAUUCCAGGUGUAGCGGUGAAAUGCGUAGAGAUCUGGAGGAAUACCGGUGGCGAAGGCGGCCCCCUGGACGAAGACUGACGCUCAGGUGCGAAAGCGUGGGGAGCAAACAGGAUUAGAUACCCUGGUAGUCCACGCCGUAAACGAUGUCGACUUGGAGGUUGUGCCCUUGAGGCGUGGCUUCCGGAGCUAACGCGUUAAGUCGACCGCCUGGGGAGUACGGCCGCAAGGUUAAAACUCAAAUGAAUUGACGGGGGCCCGCACAAGCGGUGGAGCAUGUGGUUUAAUUCGAUGCAACGCGAAGAACCUUACCUGGUCUUGACAUCCAGAGAAUCCUGCAGAGAUGCGGGAGUGCCUUCGGGAACUCUGAGACAGGUGCUGCA